AGUGAACGCUGGCGGCGUGCUUCAGACAUGCAAGUCGUACGAGAAAGUGACUUCGGUCAUUAGUACAGUGGCGCACGGGUGAGUAAUAUUUGGGUAAUGUACCAUAUCGCUGGCGAUAACUAGGCGAAAGCUUAGCUAAUACCGAAUGUCCGUUUGGGUGAAAAUCCUAACCGGGAAAGCUGUAAAGCGCGAUAUGAUCAGCCCAAAUCCCAUUAGCUAGUUGGUAGGGUAAUGGCCUACCAAGGCUUCGAUGGGUAGCUGGUCUGAGAGGAUGAUCAGCCACACUGGAACUGGAACACGGUCCAGACUCCUACGAGGCAGCAGUUAGGAAUUUUGCGCAAUGGGGGAAACCCUGACGCAGCAACGCCGCGUGAGUGAUGAAGGCCUUCGGGUUGUAAAGCUCUUUUAGUUGGGAAAAAUCAAAUGAUGGUACCGACAGAAAAAGCACCGGCUAACUACGUGCCAGCAGCCGCGGUAAUACGUAGGGUGCGAGCGUUACUCGGAUUUACUGGGCGUAAAGCGCAUGUAGGCGGCUUGUUAAGUCUGAUGUGAAAUCCCUGGACUCAAUCCAGGAACUGCAUUGGAUACUGGCAGGCUUGAGUAUAGGAGAGGUGAGCGGAAUUCCAGGUGUAGAGGUGAAAUUCGUAGAUAUCUGGAGGAACAACAGAAGCGAAAGCGGCUCACUGGACUAUUACUGACGCUGAGAUGCGAAAGCGUGGGGAGCAAACAAGAUUAGAUACCCUGGUAGUCCACGCUGAAACGAUGGUCACUAUGUCGGGAGUUCUUACCCUCUCGGUGUCGUAGCAAACGCGUUAAGUGACCCGCCUGAGGAUUACGGCCGCAAGGUUAAAACUCAAAGAAAUUGACGGCGGCCCGCACAAGCGGUGGAGUAUGUGGUUUAAUUCGAGGCAACGCGAAGAACCUUACCUGGGCUU
This 935-nucleotide ribosomal RNA is filed under the name uncultured bacterium. RNAcentral describes it as "bacterial SSU rRNA". It matches the Rfam family "Bacterial small subunit ribosomal RNA", at positions 28 to 982 of the family's 1533-position model. The record is from RNAcentral.